Molecule: unclassified non-coding RNA, 254 nt
Filed under: uncultured Sordariomycetes
Lineage: Eukaryota; Fungi; Ascomycota; Sordariomycetes
Description: sequence contains ITS2
Rfam family: 5.8S ribosomal RNA (bases 1-52)
Source: RNAcentral
AACGCACAUUGCGCCCGCCAGUACUCUGGCGGGCAUGCCUGUUCGAGCGUCAUUUCAACCCUCAAGCCCCAAGGCUUGGUGUUGGGGCCCUGCGGCUGCCGCAGGCCCCGAAAUGGAGUGGCGGGCUCGCGGCGAACUCCGAGCGUAGUAGAAUCCUAUCUCGCUAGGGAGGCGCGGCGCGCUCCGGCCGUUAAAAAAACUUCUUUUAACCCAAGGUUGACCUCGGAUCAGGUAGGAAUACCCGCUGAACUUAA